AGUAGGGUGUCUGAUUUAAGGUAUUAAAUUGUAAAUUUAAUUAUGGAUUUUCCUCUUACUA
RNAcentral lists this transfer RNA (61 nucleotides) under Ugyops sp. APL-2018. RNAcentral's name for it is "tRNA-Tyr". The record is from RNAcentral. Lineage: Eukaryota; Metazoa; Arthropoda; Insecta; Hemiptera; Delphacidae.